GUGCUCAAUUCAGCAGCACAUAUACUAAAAUUUAAACAAUACAGGGAUUAGUAUGGUCCCUGCACAAGGAUGACACACAAAUUCAUGAAGUGUUUCAUAUUCUU
Molecule: small nuclear RNA, 104 nt
Filed under: Castor canadensis (American beaver)
Lineage: Eukaryota; Metazoa; Chordata; Mammalia; Rodentia; Castoridae
Source: RNAcentral